RNAcentral lists this RNase P RNA (422 nucleotides) under Candidatus Glomeribacter gigasporarum BEG34. RNAcentral's name for it is "Bacterial RNase P class A". It matches the Rfam family "Bacterial RNase P class A". From Rfam's summary of the family: Ribonuclease P (RNase P) is a ubiquitous endoribonuclease, found in archaea, bacteria and eukarya as well as chloroplasts and mitochondria. Its best characterised activity is the generation of mature 5'-ends of tRNAs by cleaving the 5'-leader elements of precursor-tRNAs. Cellular RNase Ps are ribonucleoproteins. The record is from Rfam by way of RNAcentral. Lineage: Bacteria; Pseudomonadati; Pseudomonadota; Betaproteobacteria; Burkholderiales; Burkholderiaceae.
AAAGCGGGUCAGACAAUCGCUGCUUCCCGGCAUGCUGAUCAACGGAGAUGUUUGACAGCGCCGGGCGUAGAGGAAAGUCCGGACUCCAUAGGACAGGGUGAUGGCUAACGGCCAUCCGCGGCAACGCGCGGAACAGGGCAACAGAAAGUAAACCGCCGAUGGCCGGAUAUUUGCUUCGGCUCAGGCAAGGGUGAAACGGUGCGGUAAGCGCGCACCGCGACUGCGGUAACGCAGUUGGCACGGUAACCUCCACCUGGAGCAAUUCCAAACAGCGGGCGCGCAUCGUUUGCGAUGCAGGCGUGGUCCGCGUCGCCUGCGGGUAGGAAGCUUGAGCGCGCCAGCAAUGGCGCGCCCAGACGAAUGAUUGUCACGCGCAGUUUUUGCUGCGCGCACAGAAUCCGGCUUAUCGGCCCGCUUUGCAC